CUAUAUGGACCUCAGGUAUUAGAAAGGCUGCUUGAAGCUUUGUGCCAAAGACCAUUGAAGCUUUCUGCAACACAAUGAACCCGUGCUUUCAGAGGGCCCAGUUUCACACUGUGUGACUGUACUACACCAGGAGCUAAGGACCACCAAACUCAUCAUAUACUGCUGCAAGUGUGAGGUCCUGGUCCCGCUCUUUUCGCCAGUCUGGAGCAACGUUUGGAGGAGCCCAGCAGCCUGGUCCUUUCCGUAGCUUCCAAGGAUUUUUAGGAUCGCAGGAUUUACAGACCCGCGAAAACCCCUGGAGGACGUUAGCUGUGGAUAAAAGCCUCUGGAAAUGCCUACCGUCUUCCUUACCUCUUGUUUCUUCUUGGGUGACCUGCACGUCGUUUGGGAAGGGAGCCUCUCCGUUCUUGGAGGAUUACGUCUAACCAGCCACUUGCCACCCUCACUGGAAUACAUCUGCUAAGUUUUCCCAGGAUGGAGAAAUUACUACAUGUGGCAGAAGGCUAUUUUUCCCUUCUCCCGGAACUCUCCCAGAGCGCAGCGGUGCUCUCGUCCAGCAGGUGACACCUGCUCGUAUUGUCGAGUCCCAGGAGUCCUCCGUAAGCUUAGUCUUUGUAAGUCUAGAAAUGAGUGAACCUCAAACCAUGCAGAGGUCUCGGUUGACUGCAGAAAGGAGAGAGGAAGAGCGUCUGGAAGGGAGCUCAGAUCCCGCCAGGGUUUCCCAGGAAAUGAGGCACGUCCACAGUUUGAAUGAUGAAGUCUGAUGAAYUCUGAUUUUGGCUUGGAUUACCACCUUUCGAAAGGUUUUCUAACUAUGGAAGCUCUCCUGAGGAGUUGCAUCAUGCGCUGCUGCCCCUAAAACAGUGUGCAUAUAUUUGGGAGUGAUGAAGAACUGCAAUGUACUGCUGCAUAUUGCUUUAGUGAUGAGAGAGGCUCUCUGGCAUGUCGUACAGCACCAAAACCCAUUCCGGUGUUGACAGCAGAAAUCCUUAUCAUUUUUGUAUUUUUUUCCAAGACAGCUGAUAUCUGCUGUGGAUUCUUUGUAUGYAAAUCAAGGUGGUACAACAACAACAAAAAAAGCCCUGAAAGCAGUCACCAAGAUAAACUUGGACCAAUGGGGACAUUCCUGGUUAUCGUUUUUUAACUUUUGGGGUUUUUUUAGCUCUACGCAAGAUACUUCUUUCCCCGCUCUUUCUUACAGUAGUUAAUGUUUGUCCUGGCAGACCUUUUAUUUAUCAAUUACAGUGUUUCUUGCAUUUUAUAUGGCUGCAUAUCAAUAUACAUGAAUAAAAGACAGAAAGUGCUGGAAAUUGUCA
This 1316-nucleotide long non-coding RNA is filed under the name Apteryx rowi (Okarito brown kiwi). Its description in RNAcentral is "lncRNA (ENSARWG00000006300.1)". The record is from RNAcentral. Lineage: Eukaryota; Metazoa; Chordata; Aves; Apterygiformes; Apterygidae.